UAAAAUUCAAAAAAUUAAUAUUCAUUCAAAAAUUUAUACAUUUUAAACAAUUAUUAAUAAACAAAUUUAUUGAAAUAUCUGCAAAAAAAGGUCACAAAUCAUAGUGAAAGAACUAACACAAACAUGAUUGAGGCCCUGUAACAACAUUACCAGCAUCCUUGGUACCCUCUUCAGACCUGCUCCCCAGCACUGCCCAGGCCACUUUUCAAAGGUAAUUGCUAUUCUAAUUUAUAAUAAAAAUGUUUUAAAUAAACAUUUAUUGACUUAAGAAACACAUCUAGAAAGGGCACAAAUUGUAAACUUUCACAGAGUGACCAAAUCUAUGGAAAUGGAAUCCCAGAAGUACUCUCAUGCCUCCUUCCAGCACCUUUUCCCUCAACCGGAGGAUAACUGCUAUCUACUUCUCACACUACAAUUUAAUGUUGACUUUUUUGAAUAACACAUAAGUGGAAUCACACUCUAUGUUAUCUUUUGUGUUUGACAUUUUCCCCUCUUCCCAGUAAGAUUCAACUCAAACUCCAUCAACUGUUAGAAAACUAUGCAAAUAGAUUAAGAAAAGCUUUUAUUGUUGCCCUCAAAGGGAUACCAAUCGAAUCUUUCCAAAUAGCAAACUAUCAAAUACAACAUACAAGCAACUAUCAAAAAGGCAUAAGAAAGAAAAGAAACAUUUUAUCUGAGGAAUGUCAGCCCCUGCCUUGCAGACAUCCCACCUGAGGUAGGUAAUCAUCUAGAAGCCACCUACUACUCUGUGGACUCUAGACUCAGUAUCACCACCAACAGCUCUAAAUUAACCUAAAACACUGGCAUAUGCUGGACACAAUAACUCAUAGUUCCACAAUACAUAGCCAAUCACUAAUCAAUGUUAUCUUUGUAAACCAAUAAGAAUUCCUGACGAACAACUUUUGUAAUUGCUUCUCUCCUGAUUUGUCCUUUUUUCUUUAAGAUCUCAAGACUCUUUUGUUCAUGCGAGCAUCUCCCAAGAUAACUUAAAAGCACUUCCCAGCUGCAGUCUUCAACCCUAGCCCAAAUAAACUCUUUACCUUUACCUCUAUUAAUUUUGUCUCAGUUUCUUUGAGUCAACAGUCACAUUAACUCUGUGUAAAACGGUGUGCAUGAGCAAUGGUGUAGGAGAAGCAAAUGUGAACAUAGCUCGUGGUGUUACUCCAGGAACUCUGUGACCCUGGGUAACUUAAAGACUUCCAUAAACUAAAGCUGAUCCAUACAUAACAUUUAAGGUAGCUCUGAGAAUUGAUUUAAAUAAGGCAUCUGAAAGCAGUUUAUCAACUAUAAAAACUACACAAAUGCUCAUUUUGUCAUUUGCCUUGUUCUUUAAACUGUAUGCACAAACACAGCAGGGACCUUCUUCUGUUCGCUCUUUAAUAGCCCCUAGCAAAUUCACAGGCAGAAUCCAAUAAAUUUUCAGUCAUGGAAGUUAGCAGAUGUUGAAGAAAAUCACUUGAAUCAUUCCUCUAGUUACAAAAGUACAUAUUCCAGUGUGUUUAGCUUUCUGUAAAAUUAUAGUAGCAGUGGUUAUGAAAUAGCAAAGAAUGACUUUAUACAUCUGUGUUUAGAAUAUAAAGUCUGAGAAGGUACAUUGGGGUAGCAGAGCAGUAUCGAAUGUAGAUGCAAAGCGAGUAGGAGAAACGAUGAUGUUGUCAUACUCUUCUGGCCUCAUUACUCUGAAGGAACUUUCUUUUCCUUAAUGCAUGUAUGCAACUCCCUGAAUGUUAAUGAGAGUGGCACAUGCCCAAUGAGGAGACAGAUCUAAGAUUAAAAAUCAACCCCAAUGAUGCACAUUUAAUAAGCUGAUCUUACUCUUCCAUGCACUGCUUCUUUAAAAUUCUGUGUUUUUAAAAAGUUCAUUAGCAGUGUCUAUUUGAGAGCUAGAAAAAUUUCAAAUGGAAGGAAAUAUUUGUUUGAAAAACUAAGGGGUGAAGAGUUUUCCACUGUAAACGAAAGCUUCUGGUCUUAGAAGUGUUUUUGAAAAUAUAUAAUUCUGAUAGUGUUUACAGAAAGGUAGGGGUGUAACUAUC
This is a long non-coding RNA of Callithrix jacchus (white-tufted-ear marmoset), 2033 nucleotides long. NCBI's taxonomy places the organism in Eukaryota, Metazoa, Chordata, Mammalia, Primates, Cebidae. The record is from Ensembl.